Molecule: small RNA, 462 nt
Filed under: Pongo abelii (Sumatran orangutan)
Lineage: Eukaryota; Metazoa; Chordata; Mammalia; Primates; Hominidae
Description: processed transcript
Source: RNAcentral
CUCCCGGACACUGCUCGUGGUACUCGAUCACAUCUUGGUUUGGACAGACCACAUUGUGGCCAGUGGCUGCCAUAUUGGACAGCACUGGUGUAAGAGGGUCCAUCUCUCACUCCCACAUCAAUGUCCAAUGGUUUCUCAUUCAACUGGAAAGUGAAAUUGGAAAUCUUGCAAAAGAUGAAGAAUUAUGAAUGUGAGACACCCAGAGGGAAGAUGAUGUGAAGACACAGAGAGAAGACAGCCAUCAGCAAGCCAAGGAGAGAAGUCUGGAAUGGAUCCUCCCUUCACAGCCCUCAGAAGGAACCAAGCCAGCCAGCCUCCCGAUCUCACACUUUUAGCCUCCAGAUCUGUGAGACAAUAAGUUUAUGUUGUUUAAGCCCUCCAGUCUGUGGUACUUUGUAAUGUAGCCCCAGCAAACUAAAACAUGGGUUGGCUGGUGGCAUUAGAACAAUUUGCCCAUGAAAA